AUGAAGACUCGAGUGAGACAAUUACGCGUUGAGCUUAAAUCCACAAAGAAUGGAAACAAAACUAUCAUUGAGUAUGUGCUAUGCAUCAAAGCUAUUUCCAAUUCGCUUCUUGCAGUUAGAGAUUCAAUAACGAAACAAGAUCAAAUUGACUCGAUUCUUCAAGGGCUUCCUGAGGAGUCUAAUCCCUUUGUGGUGCAGAUGUGUGGAAGUCUUGUUCCCUUGAAUCUUUGUGAUAUUGAAGAAUUGUUGUAUGUGCAGGAAGCUCAGCUAGAAAAGUUUUGA
This is a non-coding RNA of Vicia faba (fava bean), 282 nucleotides long. The record is from the annotation of a GenBank genome assembly. NCBI's taxonomy places the organism in Eukaryota, Viridiplantae, Streptophyta, Magnoliopsida, Fabales, Fabaceae.